AGAUUUAGGUGGCUGAAGUGAUAUUAGUAGAUAAAUCUGGGGUAUAAGUAUAAAUAAUAAACUAGCAACUUAGUAACCAAGGAAAUGACGUAAGUUUACAUCUAUCAGAUAAUUGAGAAGAAUGGAAUUUUGUUUAUUUGGAAAAUUGAGGCAGAGCCGCGUGUCUCGAGGUGUAGAGUCAUCAUCGUCUUCUUCCUCCGAUAAAUACCUCCUCAUCUCGUCUCAAUUUCAUUCAUCACUCCCAUUCUUACUCAUCAUAUAAACUAAGCACAACCCAAAAAUUCAAGAGAUUGAAUAUCAAAAAAACCACAGAGAGAAGUUAAGAAUACGAGGCGGGUUUAAUCGACGGAGACAAAGAUGGUGACUUGACGAUCUUUCCGACGGAGUUUUGGCGAGCGGGGUGUAGCGCUCGAAAGCCCUCUAUAUAAGCUUCGUUUUGGUGGUAGUUUCCGGCUCGUUCCUCCGGUGGUGAUAGCUGUGAUCCGACGGCGAAGUUCAGCUGAUCCUAAAACCUUUCGGAUUUAAUUAGAGGUUUUGAGAUCGAGGAACCGAGAUCGACGAGUACUCUUGAUUGGACCGAGGUGAGGGUUCUCUUGCUUGACCUUUUCUGGGAAUAUGAUAAACUCGGGUAAUUGUAUCGCUCGAGUACUUGAAUUUUGCUCCCUUUCAUUGAAUUGAUCUACUCGUUAUCAUUUGAUUAUCGUUAUUUGAAAUUGAUUUGAUGAUGUUGAGCUUGAGAUUAUUUGAGAAAUGCUAUCUUAUCCAGUGUUCAACUCUUUGAUUUCCAUUUCCUUCGAAUAGUACUUAUUGAGUGAUCGGUAUGAAAUUCUUUGAAGCCGAUCAUUUUCCUUCAAGUUUUAUUCAAUUAUCUAAACUUCACAUCUUGAUACAUCGAGCCCUCUUUGAAACCUUUCACUUGAUCCCAUUUCUUCGGAAUUCUUUUGUCUUUGAAAUCCUGAAAUAAUCAGAAAUAUGGUCUUCUUAUAUGAUCGAUAAAAUCCUUUUGGGACGCCUCAAGGACAAUGGAUAUUAAUGGGCCCGGGGCUGUUUGGAGGUGACCGCUGGGCGGUAUCGGGCCGACGGUGGGUAGUCUCUCCAACAGUACCCACAUAGGUUUAGACCCGUACACAACUGGAGGUUAGUUGGGUUUCGGGCUAAACCGGCAUGCGCCCGGGCAUGCCACAUUGCAUUACAGGGUCAUUCCCUGCUCGGUGAAUAAGGUAGUAAACGGCUACGGGAGUCACAAGGUAGGUGUAUUCUUAUCUCUAUUGAUCGGAAAAUUUAUUGAUCAUCCUUACUAUUAUUCUUGAAUUUCCAAUCGAUGGAUAAUCUUUCAUCGCUUCUAUUUUCCGAUAUCACCAAUUGGUUCGAUCAUCAUACUUUCUUUCAGAUCAUGUCGUAACUCGUUAUUCUUAUAUUUCACCUCACUAAGUCUUUUAUGACUUAUCCCUCUACUUUAUUCUGUCAUAUUCUCAGACACAGGUGCAACUUGAACGAAUAAGAGGAUUUCGCGUCCGAGUAGUUAUCUUGUUUAUAUUUGUAAAAUAGUGGUUCGAUUAAGUUAAGAAUAAUCGCUGUCUUGUAUUAUAAAUAUCAGCGUUUUAACUUAUUUAUGUUAUAGUAUUGUAAUCUCAUAAGCUAGGAGCUGUUGUUAUAAAUGUUCGGAACCUUUGUACUUUACCUUGCUAGAAGUGAGGUUGUUAAUAAAUAAAUCGUACGUAUUUUUGUGAA
Erythranthe guttata (spotted monkey flower) is the source of this 1731-nucleotide non-coding RNA. The record is from RefSeq and is a predicted model, not a curated record. Lineage: Eukaryota; Viridiplantae; Streptophyta; Magnoliopsida; Lamiales; Phrymaceae.